GGAAUUUAUAACGGCUUCGAGCGCACCUCAUUAACUCAUAAGUGAUAGUCUUACCUUUAAUAAAAACCAUUUUAUCUGUCUGAAGAGCAUAAUACUACUGGAAAUCUUUUAAAAUGCUCUGCACACAAUAUUGCUGAUCCAACAGUACAGUCAUAAAACAGCAGUUUUAUCAAAGCUCCUGUCACUGUUAUGACCUACCUGAAGACUGAUGCUUGACUUGCUGGGUAAUUUUGCCGUAAAGUUUACAGAAUGCUGCUCCCAUCCCACUAAAGUAU
Molecule: long non-coding RNA, 275 nt
Organism: Cyprinus carpio (common carp)
Lineage: Eukaryota; Metazoa; Chordata; Actinopteri; Cypriniformes; Cyprinidae
Exons: 3
Source: RefSeq, a predicted model, not a curated record